Molecule: ribosomal RNA, 395 nt
Filed under: uncultured bacterium
Lineage: Bacteria
Description: bacterial SSU rRNA
Rfam family: Bacterial small subunit ribosomal RNA
Source: RNAcentral
GACGAACGCUGGCGGCGUGCUUAACACAUGCAAGUCGAGCGGUAAGGCCUUUCGGGGUACACGAGCGGCGAACGGGUGAGUAACACGUGGGUGAUCUGCCCUGCACUUCGGGAUAAGCCUGGGAAACUGGGUCUAAUACCGGAUAUGACCUCCUAUCGCAUGGUGGGUGGUGGAAAGAUUUAUCGGUGCAGGAUGGGCCCGCGGCCUAUCAGCUUGUUGGUGGGGUAAUGGCCUACCAAGGCGACGACGGGUAGCCGACCUGAGAGGGUGACCGGCCACACUGGGACUGAGACACGGCCCAGACUCCUACGGGAGGCAGCAGUGGGGAAUAUUGCACAAUGGGCGAAAGCCUGAUGCAGCGACGCCGCGUGAGGGACGACGGCCUCGGUUGUAAC